AUUGAACGCUGGCGGCAUGCCUAACAUAUGCAAGUCGCACGCGAAAGGGGGCAACCCUGAGUAGAGUGGCGGACGGGUGAGUAACGCGUAGGAAUCUACCUGGUAGUGGGGGACAACCCGGUGAAAACCGGGCUAAUACCGCCUACGAUCCACGGAUGAAAGCAGGGGACCGCAAGGCCUUGCGCUAUCAGAUGAGCCGGCGUCGGAUUAGCUAGUUGGUGGGGUAAAGGCCCACCAAGACGACGAUCCGUAGCUGGUUUGAGAGAACGACCAGCCACACUGGGACUGAGACACGGCCCAGACUCCUACGGGAGGCAGCAGUGGGGAAUAUUGGACAAUGGGGGCAACCCUGAUCCAGCAAUGCCGCGUGUGUGAAGAAGGCCUUCGGGUUGUAAAGCACUUUCGGUGGGGACAAACAAGGUGGAGCUAACAUCUCCGCCUCUGAUGGUACCCAAAGAAGAAGCACCGGCUAACUCUGUGCCAGCCGCCGCCGUAA
Molecule: ribosomal RNA, 496 nt
Filed under: uncultured bacterium
Lineage: Bacteria
Description: partial 16S ribosomal RNA
Rfam family: Bacterial small subunit ribosomal RNA
Source: RNAcentral